UACGGGGGGAGCAAGCGUUGUUCGGAUUUACUGGGCGUAAAGGGCGCGUAGGCGGUCAGCACAAGUCAGUUGUGAAAUCUCCGGGCUUAACUCGGAAAGGUCAACUGAUACUGUGCGACUAGAGUGCAGAAGGGGCAACUGGAAUUCUCGGUGUAGCGGUGAAAUGCGUAGAUAUCGAGAGGAACACCGGUGGCGAAGGCGCUGCUCUGGGCCGAUACUGACGCUGAGGAGCGAAAGCGUGGGUAGCAAACAGG
Molecule: ribosomal RNA, 254 nt
Filed under: uncultured bacterium
Lineage: Bacteria
Description: partial 16S ribosomal RNA
Rfam family: Bacterial small subunit ribosomal RNA
Source: RNAcentral